UACGAAGGGGGCUAGCGUUGUUCGGAAUUACUGGGCGUAAAGCGUGCGCAGGCGGCUUCUCAAGUCAGGGGUGAAAGCCCAGAGCUUAACUCUGGAAUUGCCUUUGAGACUGAGAGGCUUGAGUACGGGAGAGGGGAGUGGAAUUCCCAGUGUAGAGGUGAAAUUCGUAGAUAUUGGGAAGAACACCGGUGGCGAAGGGGGCUCACUGGCCCGUAACUGACGCUCAUGCACGACAGCGUGGGGAUCAAACAGG
This 253-nucleotide ribosomal RNA is filed under the name uncultured bacterium. RNAcentral's name for it is "partial 16S ribosomal RNA". It matches the Rfam family "Bacterial small subunit ribosomal RNA", at positions 524 to 776 of the family's 1533-position model. The record is from RNAcentral.